This 1292-nucleotide ribosomal RNA is filed under the name Escherichia coli. Its description in RNAcentral is "partial 23S ribosomal RNA". It matches the Rfam family "Bacterial large subunit ribosomal RNA", at positions 1088 to 2364 of the family's 2925-position model. Lineage: Bacteria; Pseudomonadati; Pseudomonadota; Gammaproteobacteria; Enterobacterales; Enterobacteriaceae. The record is from RNAcentral.
GACAGCCAGGAUGUUGGCUUAGAAGCAGCCAUCAUUUAAAGAAAGCGUAAUAGCUCACUGGUCGAGUCGGCCUGCGCGGAAGAUGUAACGGGGCUAAACCAUGCACCGAAGCUGCGGCAGCGACGCUGAUGCGUUGUUGGGUAGGGGAGCGUUCUGUAAGCCUGUGAAGGUGUACUGUGAGGUAUGCUGGAGGUAUCAGAAGUGCGAAUGCUGACAUAAGUAACGAUAAAGCGGGUGAAAAGCCCGCUCGCCGGAAGACCAAGGGUUCCUGUCCAACGUUAAUCGGGGCAGGGUGAGUCGACCCCUAAGGCGAGGCCGAAAGGCGUAGUCGAUGGGAAACAGGUUAAUAUUCCUGUACUUGGUGUUACUGCGAAGGGGGGACGGAGAAGGCUAUGUUGGCCGGGCGACGGUUGUCCCGGUUUAAGCGUGUAGGCUGGUUUUCCAGGCAAAUCCGGAAAAUCAAGGCUGAGGCGUGAUGACGAGGCACUACGGUGCUGAAGCAACAAAUGCCCUGCUUCCAGGAAAAGCCUCUAAGCAUCAGGUAACAUCAAAUCGUACCCCAAACCGACACAGGUGGUCAGGUAGAGAAUACCAAGGCGCUUGAGAGAACUCGGGUGAAGGAACUAGGCAAAAUGGUGCCGUAACUUCGGGAGAAGGCACGCUGAUAUGUAGGUGAAGUCCCUCGCGGAUGGAGCUGAAAUCAGUCGAAGAUACCAGCUGGCUGCAACUGUUUAUUAAAAACACAGCACUGUGCAAACACGAAAGUGGACGUAUACGGUGUGACGCCUGCCCGGUGCCGGAAGGUUAAUUGAUGGGGUUAGCGCAAGCGAAGCUCUUGAUCGAAGCCCCGGUAAACGGCGGCCGUAACUAUAACGGUCCUAAGGUAGCGAAAUUCCUUGUCGGGUAAGUUCCGACCUGCACGAAUGGCGUAAUGAUGGCCAGGCUGUCUCCACCCGAGACUCAGUGAAAUUGAACUCGCUGUGAAGAUGCAGUGUACCCGCGGCAAGACGGAAAGACCCCGUGAACCUUUACUAUAGCUUGACACUGAACAUUGAGCCUUGAUGUGUAGGAUAGGUGGGAGGCUUUGAAGUGUGGACGCCAGUCUGCAUGGAGCCGACCUUGAAAUACCACCCUUUAAUGUUUGAUGUUCUAACGUUGACCCGUAAUCCGGGUUGCGGACAGUGUCUGGUGGGUAGUUUGACUGGGGCGGUCUCCUCCUAAAGAGUAACGGAGGAGCACGAAGGUUGGCUAAUCCUGGUCGGACAUCAGGAGGUUAGUGCAAUGGCAUAAGC